UGGGGGAUAUUGCACAAUGGGCGAAAGCCUGAUGCAGCGACGCCGCGUGGGGGAUGAAGGCCUUCGGGUUGUAAACUUCUUUUGCUCUGAACAAGGCAUGCCUUUGGGGUGUGUUGAGUGUAGGGGUUGAUUAGCGCCGGCUAACUACGUGCCAGCAGCCGCGGUAAUACGUAGGGCGCGAGCGUUGUCCGGAAUUAUUGGGCGUAAAGGGCUUGUAGGUGGCUGGUUGCGUCUGUCGUGAAAGCUCAUGGCUUAACUGUGGGUUUGCGGUGGGUACGGGCUGGCUUGAGUGCAGUAGGGGAGGCUGGAAUUCCUGGUGUAGCGGUGGAAUGCGCAGAUAUCAGGAGGAAUACCGGUGGCGAAGGCGGCUCUCUGGGCUGUUACUGACGAUGAGGAGCGAAAGCGUGGGGAGCGAACAGG
This 420-nucleotide ribosomal RNA is filed under the name Fusobacteriota bacterium. Its description in RNAcentral is "Fusobacteria bacterium partial 16S ribosomal RNA". It matches the Rfam family "Bacterial small subunit ribosomal RNA", at positions 355 to 776 of the family's 1533-position model. Lineage: Bacteria; Fusobacteriati; Fusobacteriota. The record is from RNAcentral.